ACUCCUACGGGAGGCAGCAGUGGGGAAUAUUGCACAAUGGGCGGAAGCCUGAUGCAGCAACGCCGCGUGCGGGAUGGCGGCCUUCGGGUUGUAAACCGCUUUCGCCUGUGACGAAGCGUGAGUGACGGUAAUGGGUAAAGAAGCACCGGCUAACUACGUGCCAGCAGCCGCGGUAAU
RNAcentral lists this ribosomal RNA (177 nucleotides) under uncultured bacterium. RNAcentral's name for it is "partial 16S ribosomal RNA". It matches the Rfam family "Bacterial small subunit ribosomal RNA", at positions 335 to 524 of the family's 1533-position model. The record is from RNAcentral.